RNAcentral lists this ribosomal RNA (206 nucleotides) under uncultured bacterium. Its description in RNAcentral is "partial 16S ribosomal RNA". It matches the Rfam family "Bacterial small subunit ribosomal RNA", at positions 568 to 773 of the family's 1533-position model. The record is from RNAcentral.
UGCGUAGGCGGUGCAGAAAGUCGGGUGUGAAAUCCCUCGGCUCAACCGAGGAAUUGCGCCCGAAACUACUGUGCUUGAGGAAGAUAGAGGUACGCGGAACUUAGGGUGGAGCGGUGAAAUGCGUUGAUAUCCUAAGGAACACCGGUGGCGUAAGCGGCGUACUGGGUCUUUUCUGACGCUGAGGCACGAAAGCUAGGGUAGCGAAC